UACGGGGGGGGCAAGCGUUGUCCGGAUUUAUUGGGUUUAAAGGGUGCGUAGGCGGUCUUAUAAGUCAGUGCUGAAAUAUCCCGGCUUAACCGGGAGGGUGGCAUUGAUACUGUAGGACUUGAGUAGAGUUGAGGUUGGCGGAAUUGACGGUGUAGCGGUGAAAUGCUUAGAUAUCGUCAAGAACACCGAUAGUGAAGACAGCUAACUAAGCUCAAACUGACGCUGAGGCACGAAAGUGUGGGGAUCAAACAGG
Molecule: ribosomal RNA, 253 nt
Filed under: uncultured bacterium
Lineage: Bacteria
Description: partial 16S ribosomal RNA
Rfam family: Bacterial small subunit ribosomal RNA
Source: RNAcentral